This 915-nucleotide ribosomal RNA is filed under the name uncultured Bacteroidota bacterium. Its description in RNAcentral is "bacterial SSU rRNA". It matches the Rfam family "Bacterial small subunit ribosomal RNA", at positions 8 to 916 of the family's 1533-position model. The record is from RNAcentral. Lineage: Bacteria; Pseudomonadati; Bacteroidota.
AGAGUUUGAUCCUGGCUCAGGAUGAACGCUAGCGGCAGGCCUAACACAUGCAAGUCGAGGGGCAGCAUAGAGAUAGCUUGCUAUUUUGGUGGCGACCGGCGCACGGGUGCGUAACGCGUAUGCAACCUACCUUGUACUGGGGUAUAGCCCGGAGAAAUUCGGAUUAAUCCCCCCAUAGUAUUUAUGAAUCGCAUGGUUUAUAGAUUAAAGGCUACGGUACGAGAUGGGCAUGCGUCCUAUUAGCUAGUUGGAGAGGUAAUGGCUCACCAAGGCUACGAUAGGUAGGGGGCCUGAGAGGGUUAUCCCCCACACUGGUACUGAGACACGGACCAGACUCCUACGGGAGGCAGCAGUGAGGAAUAUUGGUCAAUGGGCGCAAGCCUGAACCAGCCAUGCCGCGUGCAGGAAGAAUGCCUUAUGGGUUGUAAACUGCUUUUAUUUGGGAAUAAACCCCUGGUCGAGUAUCAGGGCUGAAGGUACUAAAUGAAUAAGCACCGGCUAACUCCGUGCCAGCAGCCGCGGUAAUACGGAGGGUGCAAGCGUUAUCCGGAAUCAUUGGGUUUAAAGGGUCCGCAGGCGGGCAUAUAAGUCAGUGGUGAAAGCCUACAGCUUAACUGUAGAACUGCCAUUGAUACUGUAUGUCUUGAAUUCGGUCGAAGUGGGCGGAAUGUGUAGUGUAGCGGUGAAAUGCAUAGAUAUUACACAGAACACCGAUAGCGAAGGCAGCUCACUAGGCCUGAAUUGACGCUCAUGGACGAAAGCGUGGGGAUCAAACAGGAUUAGAUACCCUGGUAGUCCACGCCGUAAACUAUGAUUACUCGUUUUCGGCGAUAUACAGUCGGAGACUAAGCGAAAGUGAUAAGUAAUCCACCUGGGGAGUACGAUCGCAAGGUUGAAACUCAAAGGAAUUGACGG